Molecule: ribosomal RNA, 639 nt
Filed under: uncultured Actinomycetes bacterium
Lineage: Bacteria; Bacillati; Actinomycetota; Actinomycetes
Description: bacterial SSU rRNA
Rfam family: Bacterial small subunit ribosomal RNA
Source: RNAcentral
AUUGGCCUAUCAGCUUGUUGGUGAGGUAACGGUUCACCAAGGCUUCGACGGGUAGCUGGUCUGAGAGGACGAUCAGCCACACUGGGACUGAGACACGGCCCAGACUCCUACGGGAGGCAGCAGUAGGGAAUCUUGCGCAAUGGGCGAAAGCCUGACGCAGCGACGCCGCGUGCGGGAUGAAGGCCUUCGGGUCGUAAACCGCUUUCAGCAGGGACGAAAUUGACGGUACCUGUAGAAGAAGGCCCGGCCAACUACGUGCCAGCAGCCGCGGUGAUACGUAGGGGUCUAGCGUUGUCCGGAAUCAUUGGGCGUAAAGAGCUCGUAGGCGGUUCAGUUAGUCGGGUGUGAAAUCUCCACGCUCAACGUGGAGGGGCCACCCGAUACUGCUGUGACUCGAGUCCGGUAGGGGAGUUCGGAAUUCCCGGUGUAGCGGUGAAAUGCGCAGAUAUCGGGAGGAACACCAGUGGCGAAGGCGGAACUCUGGGCCGGAACUGACGCUGAGGAGCGAAAGCGUGGGGAGCGAACAGGAUUAGAUACCCUGGUAGUCCACGCCGUAAACGUUGGGCACUAGGUGUGGGACUCUAUCGACGGGUUCCGUGCCGUAGCUAACGCAUUAAGUGCCCCGCCUGGGGAGUACGG